Long non-coding RNA from Ceratina calcarata, 349 nucleotides. RefSeq lists it as uncharacterized. The record is from RefSeq and is a predicted model, not a curated record. The transcript is spliced from 3 exons. Lineage: Eukaryota; Metazoa; Arthropoda; Insecta; Hymenoptera; Apidae.
GGUGAGCAUCCCCCUAUAGAUGUAAAAUUCAAGAUCUUUUUGGGUGAGGUGAAUCCGUUUAUCAGGGUCAAGGUGUAUGCCUUUAGUUGGGCGUGAAAGAAGCAAUCGCUGUCUCAGGCUCUCCACAAUUUCUAAGUACCGUAUCCUCAAGGUCAAAAUUUAAAGAUCCUCGGUCAGGCCAAGUGAGCAGGUUCUCUCAAGUGUAUCGUUCGCGAUUCUUUGGUUGAAGUAUAUUCGUUUGCCAGGGUCAAGUUCAGGUGUAUACCUUUGAUUAGGCUCAGAAGGGAGAGACCACUGUCUAAAUUUUCUCCGCAAUUUCCUGAAUAAGUGAUUUAUCGUUUUGAUUUUU